Molecule: long non-coding RNA, 481 nt
Filed under: Homo sapiens (human)
Lineage: Eukaryota; Metazoa; Chordata; Mammalia; Primates; Hominidae
Description: non-protein coding lnc-TREH-2:1
Source: RNAcentral
GUGGAGAGCCUUCGCGGGUGAGGCUUAACGCGCAGGAGGUCUCACGAGAGUGGAAGCAACUCUCGCGAAUUUUAAAAUUUAUCUUUUUGCCUAGCGACUGACAACAGGCUGGUUGCUUGGCGUGGAAUCCUAAAGUGGCCUGGCUUUGAGACUGGAGUGAGACCCCAGCCCUAGGCUGGGGUUCUUUCCAUUAUAGAGGAGACGGAUUCAGAAGGGCUACAGGAGCUAUGAAUUAUGUCUCCCUUUGCUUAGACCAAGGUUGUUGAAAACCAGACAUAUGAUGAGCGUCUAGAGAUUAACGACUCCGAAGAGGUUGCAAGUAUUUAUACUCCAACCCCAAGACACCAAGGACUUCCUCGUUCUGCCCAUCUUCCUAACAAGGCUAUGGCUGAUAACAGCAGUGAUGAGUGUGAAGAGGAAAAUAACAAGGAGAAGAAGAAGACCUCACAGUUGACACCUCAACGGGGCUUUAGUGAAAAUG